Molecule: ribosomal RNA, 499 nt
Filed under: uncultured bacterium
Lineage: Bacteria
Description: partial 16S ribosomal RNA
Rfam family: Bacterial small subunit ribosomal RNA
Source: RNAcentral
ACUCAAAGGAAUUGACGGGGGCCCGCACAAGCGGUGGAGCAUGUGGUUUAAUUCGACGCAACGCGAAGAACCUUACCUGGGCUCGAACGGCUUCGGACAAGCUGUGGAAACACGGUCUUCCCGCAAGGGACUGGAGUCGAGGUGCUGCAUGGCUGUCGUCAGCUCGUGUCGUGAGAUGUUGGGUUAAGUCCCGCAACGAGCGCAACCCUCGUCCUGUGUUGCCACCCCGCAAGGGAGCACUCUCAGGAGACCGCCAGCGAUAAGUUGGAGGAAGGUGGGGAUGACGUCAAGUCAUCAUGGCCUUUAUGUCCAGGGCUACACACGUGCUACAAUGGACGGUACAAAGCGCUGCAAACCCGCGAGGGAGAGCCAAUCGCAAAAAACCGUUCUCAGUUCGGAUCGCAGGCUGCAACUCGCCUGCGUGAAGCUGGAAUCGCUAGUAAUGGCGUAUCAGAACGACGCCGUGAAUACGUUCCCGGGCCUUGUACACACCGCCCGU